UAUUAUUAACCGGAACAUGUCCAGUACCUAGUAAAAACUCCAGUGUGAACCGGAUAAACUACACUCCUGCAAUGCAAUAUUCUGAAGGAAACCUUAUGUUUCAGCCCAAUUUCACACGGAGUUCUGGCAACGUCGAUAAAUGACUCGCAGCCCGGUCGGGGACAUGGUGAAGCACCGAUAAACAGGAAUGAAUGGAACAAAAUUAAAAUACCCGCGAUGGGCAACAACCACCGUUCAGAAUACCCGGUAAAGAGUUCCCGGUCUAAUGUUUCAAAAAUCCCAGACCAAUCAGAUAAAAAUAAAUCGGAUGUCGAUCCGGUUAUAAAUUUCAACGAUAUGAACGGGUUGAAUGGCAGCGUUUGCAGCAAAAAGAAUUAGAUAUCGUCAAAAUUAAUGGGAAAUUGCGGCUUUGAAGAGUCUCCGAACGCUGAAGACUGUGACGCUGAAGACCGUGACGUUUUAUACAUCAUCACCCCGGCGAAGUAUGUAGUCCGGCAAGAUAGGGACUACAUUUGUUCUGUGGAAGGAUACAGGAUGCCGGAUAGUUUCUCGUAAAAUGCAUCAGUCGGUGAAUGAGUAAUCUGGAGAGAAAUUGUCUAAUGUCAACUCGUCAAAUCUGCGGAUAGUUUAGCAUACAACCAGCCGAAGGUGACGAAAACAUGGAGAGGCGUACCGAAAACAGCUUGGGGACGCGGCCUAUAUUGAGCUGAAAGAGAUGAUUCCGUUGAUUGAUUUAUGGUAUAUCGCCAUUGCAGGACAAACGUGCUUUCAUGGCAGAUCUGCGUUAGGAAACUGCCAAUGACAGGCAAAAAAUUAGUUAUAUUUAUGUGUCGAUCAGUAUAUAUACAUUAGAGUGGGGCGUCAUGGUCAUUUUUUCAAAUCAAUGGUUUUUCGAAGCCAUUCUGGGUCCUGAACAACUCUGCAGAAUUUGGGAUCGAUUGGUUGCUUCCUCGCUUUCCGCAUCGCGUUUGAAGUUUGUAUGGAAAUUAGUAUGGGAGAACGUAUAUUUUUGCAUUUCUACUACUAGAGGUUUCACUUCAUCGUAAACCAAGUGGCACAUUGCGUUAAAGUAUAACCCAAAGGAUGCCGAAAAACUUUGCUGAAGAAGGCACGUUGCUGGAACGUCCACGAAAAAGGUUAUAACGCUUCGAAGAUUGAGUGUUCAAACCAUAUGCAAAAAAUCGUUUAUU
This is a long non-coding RNA of Armigeres subalbatus, 1190 nucleotides long. RefSeq lists it as uncharacterized. The transcript is spliced from 3 exons. The record is from RefSeq and is a predicted model, not a curated record. Lineage: Eukaryota; Metazoa; Arthropoda; Insecta; Diptera; Culicidae.